CCUACGGGAGGCAGCAGUGAGGAAUAUUGCACAAUGGAGGAAACUCUGAUGCAGCCAUGCCGCGUGCAGGAUGACGGCCCUACGGGUUGUAAACUGCUUUUUUACAAGAAGAAACAUUGGUACGUGUACCAACUUGACGGUAUUGUAAGAAUAAGCACCGGCUAACUCCGUGCCAGCAGCCGCGGUAAUACGGAGGGUGCAAGCGUUAUCCGGAUUUAUUAGGUUUAAAGGGUUCGCAGGCGGAAUUUUAAGUCAGUGGUGAAAGCCUAUAGCUCAACUAUAGAACUGCCAUUGAUACUGAUAUUCUUGAGUAUAGAUGAAGUGGGCGGAAUAUGUCAUGUAGCGGUGAAAUGCAUAGAUAUGACAUGGAACACCAAUUGCGAAGGCAGCUCACUAAACUAUUACUGACGCUCAUGAACGAAAGCGUGGGGAGCGAACAG
Molecule: ribosomal RNA, 440 nt
Filed under: uncultured bacterium
Lineage: Bacteria
Description: bacterial SSU rRNA
Rfam family: Bacterial small subunit ribosomal RNA
Source: RNAcentral